This 395-nucleotide ribosomal RNA is filed under the name uncultured bacterium. Its description in RNAcentral is "partial 16S ribosomal RNA". It matches the Rfam family "Bacterial small subunit ribosomal RNA", at positions 523 to 918 of the family's 1533-position model. The record is from RNAcentral.
AUACGUAGGGUGCAAGCGUUAAUCGGAAUUACUGGGCGUAAAGCGUGCGUAGGCGGUUUUGUAAGACAGAGGUGAAAUUCCUGGGCUCAACCUGGGAACUGCCUUUGUGACUGCAAGGCUAGAGUACGGACGCAGGGGGUGGUAUUCCGCGUGUAGCAGUGAAAGGCGUAGAUAUGAGGAGGACCACCGAUGGCGUAGGCAAUCCCCUGGGCCGGAUGUGACGCUCAUGCACGAAAUCGUGGGGAGCAAACAGGAUUUGAUACCCUGUUAGUCCACGCCGUAAACGAUUUCAACUGGUUGUUGGCUCGUCAUUGGCUCAGUAACGUAGCUCACGAGUGAAGGAGACCGCCUGGGGAGUACGGCCGCAAGGUUGAAACUCAAAUGAAUUGGCGGGU